This is a non-coding RNA of Pelobates cultripes (western spadefoot toad), 4450 nucleotides long. The record is from the annotation of a GenBank genome assembly. Lineage: Eukaryota; Metazoa; Chordata; Amphibia; Anura; Pelobatidae.
AUAUAUGUGUGUAUAUAUAUAUAUAUAUAUAUAUGUGUGUAUAUAUAUAUAUAUAUAUGUGUGUGUAUAUAUAUAUAUAUAUAUGUGUGUGUAUAUAUAUAUAUAUAUAUGAGAGAGAGAGAGAGUAGAUAAAGGGGUGCACUUGUAGGUAUUUUUUCAAUAAAUGUUUAAUUUAGUUGCAUAUCACAUAUGUGUCCUAGAUCAGCAUUUCGACCCAUUCGGGUCUUUCUCAAGAUGUAACUGAAUUAACCAGUUAUUGAAAAAAAGUCCUACAAGUGGACCCUUUUGUCUAAUCGACAUAUCAACUUGGGUUUGCACCAAGGCAAGAUGGAAUUGUACACUGAAAGGGAAUAUAUAUUAUAUAUGAGUUGCUGCAAAUUAAAAUGUGAAUUGCAAAUUUAAGCCAAACAUUUGAAGAAAUUCUUCAACCGUGCUAUAGCCGCAGCUUGGAUAUUUUAGCCUUAAUUUUGCAAUCCUGCUUUCAAUUUACUAGAAAUCAGAAUUUAGUAAAGACUCUGUGUGUUUGCAUUCCUCCAGGACUCAUUAAUAUAAUACUUACUGUAUAUGAACAUAACAGAGUUCUACAGCAGUAAAAGUCUCAAUAGCCCUGUUGCCCCCCCUUCUCCCCCUGGAUCCGCCACUGGCCACACCUCGCUGUAGGUGACUAACGCAACCUACUUUUAAAAAAAAAUAAUCCGAUUUUAAUUUACUUCAGAAAAUGUUAUAUCCUGAUUUGUAAGUUGAACUUUAAUCACACGCAUUAGGUUCCUGCAAAGUCUAUAACAGUAGUAGGCAGCCUUUAAGUAGUAAUGUAUCAAAACAAAAUCUUAAAAUCCUGUGCCGGUCCUUUUUUUUUUUUUUUUAAAUGAAGGUUUGCAUGUUGCCGUAUCCUGCUUGUGUUAUUUAUAGGUGCUCCAGUUGCUUUGUAGCGUUGUAUUUGUCCGUAUGUGUGCUGUAAUAUUGUAUAUGUUCAUGAGUAGUUUGUGGUAUUGUGUAUCAUACCUGUGUAUGGGGCUGCUUGUGGAAUUGUGUGUGAGGAUGCGUGCACCUUGAAUAUGCUGUGCAAUUUUGGGCACCUGUUCUAAAGAAGGAUAUUAUGUCACUAGAAAUGUGUAGAGGCGGGCCAAACAAUUAAUAAAAGAAAUGAAACAUUUUUGUUAUGAAAAAAGUUUAACAAAUUUAAAUCUCUUUAGUUUAGAAAAACGGUACCUCAGAGUGGUUAUGAUUAAAAAGAUAUAUUCAGGGUUAAUACGAACCAUUGUCUGGAAAUCUGUUCAUAAACAGGACUAUACAGAGGACACAAGGUCACGCAUUUAGACUGGAAGAAAGGAGAUUUAGUCUAAGGCAAAAGGAAAGGUUUUUACAGUAAGAACAAUAAGCAUGUGGAAUUCUCUGCCUCAAGAGGUGGUUUUAUCAGAGUCUGUUAAGAUUUUUAAACAGCAACUGGAUGACUACUUGCAAAAACAUAAUAUUCAGGGAUAUAAUGUUUGACUUGCGGGGUAACAGCUUCUUGAUCCAAAGAGAGCUCGGACUGCCAUUCUUGGGUCAAGAAAGAUAUUUUUCCUACUUUCUGACAAAAUUAGAAACACUUCAAACUGUGUUUGCCUUCUUUUGGAUCAACAGCAAAAACAGAUUUGAGAAAGGCUGACCUUGAUGGACGCAAGUCUUUUUGUAGCUAUGUAAUUGUUAUGUCACACUGUGUGUUUGAUGGUGUGUAUAAGUGUGGGGCUUCUUGUUGUGUUGCAUGUAAGAGGCUGCUUGUGGGGUUCUGUCCAUGUAUGUGGAUUGCCAGUGGUGUUGUGUUUGUGUGUUGGCUAUUUGUAUGAGGGGGAGGCUUUUUCUGCAGCUCUAUGUAUACAACAUCCUCAAUACAUACCUUAAAACUAGUUGUUUCUCAGUGGGCAGACCAAUGGGUGGAUUAGAGGGGUUUGGCCUGGCAGUUUAUUGCCCACUCCAUAUUUUCUUAAAUUAUGUUGUCCUUUGAAGAACCCAAAGUCAGAGCAUUCGCAUCAAUGCCUUUUACGAUGCCCUAUGUCCAGCUCUGGUGAUGGUUAUCUUAGUAGUUUUAUGGCUUAGGCCUUGUGUAAGAUCAAAGCCUACAAUAAAGGUUUCCAAACGUAUAAUAAAAAAAACUCAUUACAUAUAUCAAAUGCCAACUCAUGCUUUGGCAUGACAGUUGCUGAUCCCUGUUCUAGAAGGCUGUUAACAGAGCAGAAUAUAUGAAAUUCUAAAUUAAUCAGGCUUUGAAGUCUAAACGUUAGAUGUCUUUUUACAGGAAGUGUUUAGCAAGGCUGUGCAAGUCACAUGCAAGGAGCUGUGUCUAGUGUGCAUAAACAAAGUUAUUUAACUCCUAAAUGUCAGAGAAUUGAGCAGACUGCAGAGAGACUGCAAGGGCAUGAUCUACACACCAAAGAGUGUCUAUUUAAGGCCAAAAUAGUUAAAGUGUUAAAACAUCUUGUUUUUCAGUUUUGUCUUUUGGACCAAUUUAUUGGGCUAAAAUUUAAAAUUCACUUUUACUUCCCAAUAUUUUACAAUAUUGUAAAACACCCUGCCUGUUUUGUUGAACACUGCCUAUAUAUAGGGAAUUGUUCACAUUGAAAUGCUGAAUUAUUUAUUCUCAAAAUUUAUAUUAAAGAAAAAACAAAAAAAAAAGCAUCCACAUGCGACAUUAGCAUCUAAUUGUAAGGAUAUUUUUUAAAAAUAUAUCUUUAUCACUUUUUCUUCUUCAGGAAAGGUUACAUUUUUUGUUUAUUUUUUAUUGGGAGUGCUUUUUAAUGUAUGGAAAGAGGCACUGAAAUAUAUAAAAAAAAAUUUUACAAGUUGUGUUCAUGAUCUUCAGAGAAGUAAAUUUUUUGUUACGUUAUUUUUGUUAUUUGUAAAUGUACAUUUACUUUUUUUCUUUUUUUUCACUUUGGUAUGUUUUAUAUUAUUAUAUAAAUUUAAAUACAUUUUUUGUAUGUAAAGUAAAAGACGUAUCAUUUGAAAAUGCUUUUGGUAAUGUGUGCCAUCAAAACUUCAUUUGCCAACAAAACUUUUGAUUCUGACAAUCAGUGAUAUUUUCAAAGGUCUUUUGUUGAUUGGAAUCUCUUAAGUAGUGGACAUAUUGGUUGAAUUUUUCAAUAAUGCUGCUCUAUUUAAUUGUCCAGACUGUAACUUCAGAUAUGGGGUGUAUAUUUUCUUUUAGAGAAAGACAUUGUGAGUACACCAAUACUUUGUUUUUGGGGGGUUUUCUGUGAUUAAGUAAAAAAAUUACUAAUAAAUAAAGAGCCUCUUUGCCAAUAUUGCAAUGGUAGCUGGCUGCCUAGAAAGCAUUCAGUUAUUUUUAAUUUUUUGUUUUUAUUUUUACUAAACUGUGUAUUAACAGGAAAUUUUAACAAAAGUAGGACUCUAUUUAAUACGCUUUCAAAAGGAUAUUUCUACAGAAGUCACCGUUAAAGUCUAUGGGAUUUUUGUAGAUCAGUAAUUUGUAAAAGUUUUGUAAUAGUAUUGAAUACUCUGGAAAGCUUAUUAAUUUGAGGCUUUAGUUGGUAGAAAAGUGGUCAGACUUCUUUUCAAAGAAAUCAAAAUCCGGCACUGACAACUGAAUAGGUAAACAAAGAUUUACCUUAGCAAACCACAAUAUUUUGGGGAUUUACCAGGGAACCUUAAAAUGCAGGCCUGAAAAACAAUUGGAUAAAAAUGGCAACCAUAUUUUCUGACAUAUCAGGAUUUUUAACAAAUAGUAAUACAGGUUUUUUUUUUUUUUUUUUUCUAGUUUGGGAGUAGUUUUGACAUUUUAAUGUUCAUUGGAACCUGGAUAAGUGACACUGAAAUGACACGUUACCUGCAGUAUUGUAAUUUUCAAAUCAUUGUAUGAUAUCAAUAAAACUGAGUUACAAGUAAACUACUUUCCGCUAUAAUGCAGUGGGUAUAUGGAUUUAUUUGUCAGUGGGAAAUUAAUAGAGACUUUGAACAGCUCAAAUUCUCAUAAAAUUUGUAGAAGAAAACAAAAAUUCAAAAUGUAAAUUUAAAGUGACACUCCAUGCUAGAGUUAAAUCCACAAAAAAAUAAAAACAAUGAAAGAAAAGAUGCUUGACUCCCUAUUUGCCUUGAUUUCUGCAACACUGAAGAAUCUACGGGGACUCGGGAGAUAGAGUGGAGGUUGACCUGUAGCUAUAGCAUACCCUAUGUAGGUAGUAUAAAUGUUGAGAUGCAUAGAUUAUCCUUUUAAACUGUAAUUAUUAAUUAGCUUUAUGCUGAGAUAUUACAACAUAUUUUUCAUUUCUGAAAUGCCAGUGUGGGCCAGAGCCAGUCCUGAGCUAAAAUUAAUCGACAUAAAACUAAUGAGGUCCUAUUUUGGAGGAACAGUCGCUAUUUUGGGCCUAAAUCCCCGUCUCCCUCUGUCCUAUUCUGAUGUCUCUAGUUUCUAGAAACUCUGUAUUAUUGGUGUGUCUGAGUGUUUAACAAAGUA